RNAcentral lists this ribosomal RNA (482 nucleotides) under uncultured bacterium. RNAcentral's name for it is "partial 16S ribosomal RNA". It matches the Rfam family "Bacterial small subunit ribosomal RNA", at positions 30 to 507 of the family's 1533-position model. The record is from RNAcentral.
UGAACGCUGGCGGCAGGCCUAACACAUGCAAGUCGAGCGGAUGAAGGGAGCUUGCUCCUGGAUUCAGCGGCGGACGGGUGAGUAAUGCCUAGGAAUCUGCCUGGUAGUGGGGGAUAACGUCCGGAAACGGGCGCUAAUACCGCAUACGUCCUGAGGGAGAAAGUGGGGGAUCUUCGGACCUCACGCUAUCAGAUGAGCCUAGGUCGGAUUAGCUAGUUGGUGGGGUAAAGGCCUACCAAGGCGACGAUCCGUAACUGGUCUGAGAGGAUGAUCAGUCACACUGGAGCUGAGACACGGUCCAGACUCCUACGGGAGGCAGCAGUGGGGAAUAUUGGACAAUGGGCGAAAGCCUGAUCCAGCCAUGCCGCGUGUGUGAAGAAGGUCUUCGGAUUGUAAAGCACUUUAAGUUGGGAGGAAGGGCAGUAAGUUAAUACCUUGCUGUUUUGACGUUACCAACAGAAUAAGCACCGGCUAACUUCGUG